UGGAAAGUGGCCCUGGCUUUCUUACUGUGUUAUAGAGAGACACAGAAAGGGACUACAAGCUGACAGCUGGAGAUUCUGACAGAGAAAGGAGUAUCUGUCCUUCCUCUACUCCAAAGGCGCCAUGAGAUACCAGGGAAAGGAGACAUCGAAAGUGAUCAAAGGAGUCCCUGCUGUCAUUGCUGUCAUCCUAAUCUCUGUCUGUGUAACUGUGAGCAUCAUGACAGAGGUCCACUAAACACAGGAUGCAGCUCGUUAUACCAAGGGCAUGGGUCAUGCCCAAACCUUCCAUGAUUUGAGGUCCCUCUAACAUUUGCCAUGGCCAUCAAAGCGUGUCUUGACUUCAGCUCUGCCCCCGUGAGAACAAACGUGGUCAUCACCAGGGGAGCAGAUGCCUACCACACGUUAUCGUCUGAGGGACUGAGAGGAAGACCAGUCAAUCUGCUUCAUGUGGUUCCCAAAGGCGGGAACAGGACCAGUGGCAUGGAUUAUGGGGUCACAGCUACUCAGGGGAGCAAACCCUAUAGCAUCAAAGAUGGUAGACUUGUAAACAAGACCCCAAAUGCUGAAAUUCGGCUCAGUGAGGCCCAAAGAACUACCCCUCCUCCAUCUCUAGAGAUGACCUACACUAGGGGAGGCGGGUAGACCAGCUGCCCCCAAGUCCUACUCAGCUUCAAGUCUCCCAGCUGAGCCAAGAGCUGAGUGGGGAGCUGCCCUAGGCAUCCUUUGUCCUGUUCCUGGCUGGUAAUUGACAGAGUGAAUGGCCGCUAAUGAAGAACAGAGUGGGACUUCCUGGGAGGUGUCGGAGACAGCCAGAAAGACAACUGCUAAUUACCAGUGCCAGCUGGUGGCCCUGAGAGACCAUGCUGACAGAAAAGAUGAUGGUUGAGAGGGGACCAGGCAGGAAGACGCUUCAGGAAGACGGCUUAUUCUAAGGCCUCCUGCACCCAGGAACUGGCUCCAUGGAGUGAUGGGUGAAGAGAUCAAGACCACCAUCCCUGCUCUCUUUCCUGGUCAAGCCUUGCGGGGAGCUCUUUGAUCACUAACAUAAUUCUAGUGUCCUUCAACUGUCCUUGGCUGUUAGGCUGAGCCAGCUUUCUCUCCCUCCCAGACUCCAGCACUGAGUUCCCUUCCUGUUGUUCAUCCCUGCCCCUGACUCUGUCUACACCAUUGGCAUCUUGCUUCAGUAACUCCUGGAUCAAGCUGUGGGUAGCAGCAGCCCAAUCCCUCACUGGCCCUGGGUAAGUGAAGCAGGAUACCAGGAGCUUGCUGGUGAUCCCCGCUUACAGCUCCAUGAAGGGAAUGGGACAGUGAUCAUGUUGAAGAGGGAGCUCUAAGUGAGGUAGAUCGGCAACGUGGCCCGUCAGUCAUUAGGGCAAGCUAUCUCUCUGCCGGCCACUGGAGUGUCUGGUAGCUGCCUUCUUUGGUGUCCCUGCCUCUUAAUUCUUCCUCAGUUCUUCCUUCUUCUAGUCUGGAGCUGUCUCUCUCUGCGUGGAGUAGGUCUCAGUUUCUCUUACACCUGGGGCCCCUGAGCCUCACCUGCCCUCCCUCAGAUCCACUGUCCCCUCAUGGGUCCCUCUCCCUAACCUCUGGGCCACACUCUGGGUCUUGAUCCUUGAGGGCCAAGGGCCCUGCUGGGUUGGAAUUCUGAUUAUAUGCACCUGCCCUAUAUAAUUCUGAUUAUAUACAGCCUGCAUCUGUCCUGAGAGGCUCAGCACCUCCUUCCCCUCCUCUCUCUGUCCUCCCCUUCAUUUGGGCCCUGCCACCGACAGGCAUGUGCUGCUCUAGGGCAGGGAAGACUUCAGGGGCCAGACUGACUCCUCUGCAUCUCAACUGUCCCUUUCCCUUAGAGGUGCUGAAAUCCUCAGCUGAGAUGGUAGCAGGAGAGCCCCGAGCACACCUCCCUUCCCCCUGUAUUGUCUGCCAGAGUCAUAGAAACUGCCAGUUGGCGGCUUCAAUGGUUGGCAAUGCUGGAAGCCUUAAGGCUACAGCCCAUGUAUGGGCAGCUGGAGCCUCCUUCAGGUUCCAAGGGAGGCAGUUCUGGCACUCCCUGGCAUCUUGGCCAUCUUGUUCUCUCUUCAUACAAACUUCUUGCCUGUGUCUCUGUUUUGUUUUGUUUUUUGUUUUUCAACUCCAGAGUUUUUGUAGCUUUGGAGU
Molecule: non-coding RNA, 2154 nt
Organism: Myodes glareolus (Bank vole)
Lineage: Eukaryota; Metazoa; Chordata; Mammalia; Rodentia; Cricetidae
Source: RefSeq, a predicted model, not a curated record